GGAGAAGUACCCAAGUAGGUCGAAGGGGGCGGUUUGCUAAACCGUUAGUAGGAGCAAUCCUAGCAAGGGUUCGAAUCCCUUCUUCUCCGCCA
Molecule: transfer RNA, 92 nt
Filed under: Ruminiclostridium sufflavum DSM 19573
Lineage: Bacteria; Bacillati; Bacillota; Clostridia; Eubacteriales; Oscillospiraceae
Description: tRNA-Ser
Rfam family: tRNA
About the family: Transfer RNA (tRNA) molecules are approximately 80 nucleotides in length. Their secondary structure includes four short double-helical elements and three loops (D, anti-codon, and T loops).
Source: RNAcentral